Molecule: long non-coding RNA, 9537 nt
Filed under: Nicotiana tabacum (common tobacco)
Lineage: Eukaryota; Viridiplantae; Streptophyta; Magnoliopsida; Solanales; Solanaceae
Description: long non-coding RNA (NTAB_LNC018480)
Source: RNAcentral
UUACGGAAGUAAAACAAUUUAAAACAGAAUUAGAGUAAUAAGACAGUGUUUAAAAGUGCCGCUCGGCAUACACAAUAUUUAACUCUCAGAAACCAAUACAUAUCUCCAAGACCCGAAAACCCAUGAAUCACAAGAUAAGGAUCACUACAUAGUGCUCUAACUCCAUAAUAGUCUAAAACCAAUGAAAUACAGAAGGGCGAUAACUAUGAGAGAGAGUGGAGAGAGACUCCUUGGUCUGCGGAUGUAGUAGGUAUACCUCGAAGUCUCCAAAUGAUCGCCUCACCUCAAGGAUGGUAAGCCUGAGUCAAGGUACCUGGAUGUUCACAUGAAAAACAUACGCAGAAAGGGCAUGAGUACACCACAGCAGUACUCAGUAAGUGCCAAGCCUAACCUCAGUCGGGUAGUGACGAGGAAGGUCAGGGCCCUACUGAGGUUAAAUAAAAUACAAAGUAUAACAAUGUAGAACAAGAUAGUAUAAUUAAGUGCAACAGUAAGAAAUAACAUAGAAUAAAAAUAGCAACAACAACUAGAACAGAGGCAAAAUAAUCACAGAAAGGAAAUACAACUCAACACAGAGAUAACAACCGGGGUACCUUCAAAGAUACCAUCCUGUAGUCCCAAUUAUAGCUAUCCAGUGGAUCUCCCGGGAUCCCGGCCCGUAGUCCAACAAUCAGUGCGCGAGGAUCUACUGGAAUCCUGAUCCGUAGUCCCAAAUAUAAAUACCAGUACUGGGGGAAUCUACCGGGUGAAGUCCCGUAGUUCCAUAUAACUAUGCAGGGGGAUCUACUAGAAUCCCACAUCCGUAGUCCCAAAUAAACAGACAAGGGGAAUCUACCGGAGUCCCACAUCUGUAAUCCCAAUGUAAAUACACAGCAGCAACAGGAAAUUAUUCAGAAAUGGCGAAUUUCAUAUUAAGGCAACAAGUAAUUCUAGCCUAGCAUGCUGCAUAGAAUAAAUGUAAGGCAGUUUUAGAAAAUAAAGCAAUUAAAUCACUUAGACAUGCUUUCCUAAGCUACGACAGGCUUAAUAAUGCGAGUAAUAAAAACAAGAAAAGAAACAUACUAGUAAUUACUUAAUGAAAACCGGAUUUUCAAUAAUUAGCACAAGUACGCACUCGUAUCCUCACGUACAAGGAAUUUCAAUUACCAAUUAUACCAAAUCCUAAGGUGAAAGGUCCCCCACACAAGGUUAGGUAAACCACUUACCUCGAACCGGCUCAAUAAUCAAUCUGAAACCAUGCUCUUGCCACGAGUACUCGACUCCAAAUUACCCAAAUUUAUUCAAUUUGAUUGCAAUAAAUAACACUUUAAGUAACUGAUUCUACAAAGAAAUUCUAAGCUAAUACGCAAAAUUAGGUAAAAUGACCAAAAAGCCCAUCGGGCCCAUAUCUCGAAAUUGGGUAAAAUUUACAUUUUCAGAAACCUCGUACUCUCACGAGUCUAUACAUAACAAGAACACUGAAAUCGAAGUUUAAUUGGCCCCUCAAAUACCCAUGUUAAGGUGUCUUAAUCUCAAGCCCUAAUUACCCAUUUUCCCCAAAUUUCUCACCACAUGUUAAGCUGUCUUAAUCUCAAGCCCUAAUUACCCAUUUUCCCCAACUUUCUCACCACCAAUUAGGUCCUUUAUCACAUAUAAACGAGUUAUGAAGUUAAAAAUGUUACUUCCAAGUGAUUCCCCUUGAAUCCCUCUUCAAUCCUCUUCAAAGAGCUCCAAAAUCGCUCAAAAUUGGUGGAAGAUAACCUCAAAAUGGUGGACCAAAUGACUAUUUAAACAUUCAUCCCAGGCAUCAAAUCCUUCUUCGCGAACACGGUCAACGCCUCGCGUUCGCAAAGCACAAAUUUACUUUGACUAAAAUUCCUUCAUCGCGAUCGCGACACAGCUCGCGAACGUGAAGGCUUAGCUCUGUACUCAACGCGAAUGUGACGUCCCCCCGCAAACGGGAAGGACAAAUCAACCUCAACCCAACCGCCCAACUUUCCUCUAUGCGAACGCAGUAUCACCUCGCGAAGGCGAUGCACAAGACCCCAGCCCCUUCGUGAACGGGGAGACUCCCUCGUGAACGCGAAGGCUAAAUCCUUAGCCUCACCUGCUAACCCUUCGCGAACGCGAGGGCCUACUCGUGAACAAGAGGGCCUACUCAGGAACGCGAAUGUCAUUUUUCUGCAACACCUAACAGUAGUUUUCUGCAGUUUUUCACAACUUGAAAUGGUCCGAUUGACCACCCGAAACAGACCCUAGGCCUCCGGGACCUCAACCAAACCUGCCAACUAAUCCUAAAACAUCGUUCAAACUAUUUCCAACCUUUGGAAUGCUCAAAACAACAUCGAAACACCUAUUUUUCAUCGGAUCCAAGCCUAAGAAUUCCAAAAACCCCUAAAAAUAUGCUUUCGAUCAAAAAGUCUAUCAAACCUCGUCUGAAUGACCUGAAAUUUUGCACACACGCCACAUUAAACACUAUGGAGCUACUCCAACUUCCAAAAUGCCAUUCCCACCCUCAGAUCAAAAUCUCACUAUCGAACCGAAAACUUCAAAAAUUCAACUUUCGGCAUUUCAAGCUUAAAUUAGAUACGGCCCUCCAAAACACAAUUCGAACACACCCCUAAGCCCAAAAUCACCUAACGAAGCUAACAGAACUAUCAGAUUUCCAUUCCGAGGCCAUCUUCACACUGUUAUGACAACAGUCAACUUUUCAACACUUAAGCUCUCAUUUAGGGACAAAGUAUCCCAAAACUCUCCAAAACUCAACCGAACAUCCCGGCAAAUCAAAAUAGCAGAAAUAAACUCGGGAAAAGUAGUUAAUAGAGGAUCGGGGCAUAAAUUCUUAAAUGACCGACCGGGUCGUCAUAUCCUCCUACACUUAAACAUUCGUUCGUCCUCGAACGAGCAUAAAGACAUACCUGAAGUAGUGAAAAGAUGAGGGUAACAGCUGCGCAUAUCCUGCUCAGUCUCCCAGGUCACCUCCUCGACCGGCUGACCCCGCCACUAAACCUUUACUGAUAAAAGGUUCUUUGACAUCGGCUUUCUAACCUUCCUGUCCAAUAUUGCCACUGGUUCCUCAAAAUAGGAUAGAUCCUUGUCCAACUAGACUGAACUAAAAUCCAACACGUGCGACGGAUCACUGUGAUACCUCCGGAGCAUCNNNNNNNNNNNNNNNNNNNNNNNNNACUCAACUCCUUUUUUUCCCAAAUCUCAUAACGCCCUUUAUAGGCGAAACCCGAAGCAGAACCCGCUCUCCAACCAUAUAGGAAAUAUCACGAACCUUCCGGUCCACGUAACUCUUCUGUCUGGACUGGGCUAUACGGAGUCUAUCCUGAAUCACUUUAACCUUCUCCAAGGCAUCCUGAACCAGGUCUGUGCCCAACAAUCUAGCCUCACCCGGCUUAAACCAACCCACCGGGGAUCUAUACCGCCUACCGUAUAAAGCCUCGUACGGUGCCAUUUGAAUGCUGGACUGAUAGCUGUUGUUGUAGGAAAACUCUGCCAAUGGCAAGAACUGAUACCAAGACCCUCCAAACUCAAUCACAUUCGUAUGGAGCAUAUCCUCAAGAAUCUAAAUAGUGCGCUCGGACUACCCGUCCCUCUAAGGGUGAAAUAUUGUACUCAACUCCACCUGAGUACCCAACUCAUGCUGAACGGCUCUCCAGAAUCGUGAUGUGAACUAAGUACCUCUAUCUAAAAUGAUGGAAAUUGGAAUACCAUGCAGACAAACAAUAUCCCAGAUAUAGAUCUUUGCCAAACGCUCCGAAGAAUAAGUAGUACACACAGGAAUAAAGUGAGCGGACUUGGUCAGUUGAUCCACAAUCACCCAAAUAGCAUCGAACUUUCCAAAGUCCGUGGGAGCCCAACUACAAAGUCCAUGGUGAUCCACUCCCACUUCCACUCCGGAAUCUCUAUCUGUUGAAGCAACCCACCUGGUCUCUGGUGCUCAUACUUCACCUGCUGACAAUUGAGGCACCGAGCUACAAAUCUAACUAUAUCUUUCUUCAUCCGUCUCCACCAGUAGUGCUGCCUCAAAUCCUGAUACAUCUUCGCGCCACCCGGAUGAAUAGAAUACCGCGAGCUAUGGGCCUCAUAUAGAAUCAACUCUCGAAGCCUAUCAAUAUUUGGUACACAAAUCCGACCUUCCAUCCUCAAUACCUCAUCAUCACCAAUAGUCACAUCUCUGGCAUCACCGUGCUGAACCUUGUCCUUGAGGGCAAGCAAAUGAGGGUCAUCAUACUGCCGCUCCCUGAUACGAUCAAAUAAGGAAGAUCGAGAAACCACGCAAGCUAGAACUCGACUAGGCUCCGAAAGAUCCAAUCUCACUAACUGGCUGGCUAAGGCCUGAACAUCCAUCGCCAUAGGCCUCUCCGAUGCUGGUAAAUAAUCCAAACUCACCAAACUCUCUGCUCGGUGACUCAAAGCAUCGGCCACCACAUUGGCUUUUCCGAAGUGAUACAAAAUAGUGAUGUCAUAGUCCUUCAGCAACUCUAACCACCUCCUCUGGUACAAAUUUAGAUCCUUUUGCUUGAACAAGUGCUGCAAGCUCUGAUGGUCAGUAUAAGUCUCACAAGGCACACUAUAUAAAUAAUGGUGCCAGAUCUUCAGGGCGUGAAUAUUGGCAGCUAACUCAAGGUCGUGAACAGGGUAUUUCUUCUCAUGUAUCUUCAACUAUCUAGACACGUAGGCAAUCACCCUACCGUCCUGCAUCAACACCGCUCCGAGGUCAAUCCUCGAGGCAUCACAAUAGACUAUAUAAGACCCCGAACCUGUAGGUAGUAUCAAAAUUGGGGUUGUGGUCAAAGCUGUCUUGAGCUUCUGAAAGUUCGCCUCACACUCCUCCAUCCACUGGAACGGAGCAACCUUCUAGGUCAACCUGGUCAUAGGGGCUACAAUCGAUGAAAACCGCUCCACAAAAUGUGUUAGUAACCCGCCAAGCCAAGGAAAUUGCAGAUCUCUGUAGCUAAGGAUGGUCUGGGCCAACUCUAUACGACCUCUAUCUUCUUCGAAUCAACAUGAAUACCCUCACUCGAUACCACGUGUCCUAAGAAUGCCACUGAAUCUAACCAAAACUCAGUGCGCAGGGAUCUAACAGAAUCCUGAUCCGUAGUUACAAAUAUAAAUACCCAGUACUGGGGGAAUCUACCGGGAGCAGUCCUGUAGUUCCAUAUAACUGUGCAGGGGGAUCUACCGGAAUCCCUCAUCUGUAGCCCCAAAUGAACAGACAAGGGGGAUCUACCGGAAUCCCACAUCCUUAGUUCCAAAUAAACAAACAAAGAGAAUCUACCAGAGUCCCAUAUCUGCAGUCCCAAUGUAAAUACACAACAACAACAGGAAAAUAUUCAGAAAUGGCAAAUUUCAUAUUAAGGCAACAAGUAAUUCUAGCCUAGCAUGCUGCACAGAAUUCAGGUAAGGCAGUUUGAGCAAAUAGAGCAAUUAAAUCACUUAGACAUGCUUUCCUAAGCUAAGACAGGCUUAAUAGUGCGAGUAAUAAAAACAAAAAAAGAAACAUACUAGUAAUUACUUAAUGAAAACCAGAUUUCAAAUUUCAUAUUAAGGCAACAAGUAAUUCUAGCCUAGCAUGCUGCGCAGAAUUCAGAUAAGGCAGUUUGAUCAAAUAAAGCAAAUAAAUCACUUAGACAUGAUUUCCUAAGCUACGACAGGCUUAAUAGUGUGAGUAAUAAAAACAGGAAAAGAAACAUACUAGUAAUUACUUAAUGAAAACCAGAUUUCCAACAAUUAGCACAAGUACGCACUAGUCACCUCACGUAUAAGGCAUUUCAAUUAUCAAAUAUACCAAAUCCUAAGGGGAAAGGUCUCUCACACAAGGUUAUGCAAGCCACUUACCUCGAACCGGCUCAAUAAUCAAUCCGAAACUAUGCUCUUACCACGAGUACUCAACUCCAAAUUACCCAAAUCUAUUCAAUUCAAUUGCAUAAUAUAAAUAACAUUUCAAGUAACUGAUUCUACAAAGAAAUUCUAAGCUAAUACGCAAAAUUAGGUAAAAUGACCAAAAAUCCCAUAGGGGCCCACGUCUCGAAAACGGGUAAAAUUUAUAUUUUCAGAAAAUUCGUACUCUCACGAGUCUAUACAUAAUAAGAACACUGAAAUCGGAGUUCAAUUGGCCCCUCAAAUACCUAUGUUAAGGUCUUUUAAUCUCAAGCCCUAAUUACCCAUUUUCCCCAAAUUUCUCACCACCAAUUAAGUCCUUAAUCACAUAUAAACGAGUUAUGAAGUCAAAAAUGUUAACUCUAGGUGAUUCCCCUUGAAUACCUCUUUAAUCCUCUUCAAAGAGCUCCAAAAUCGCUCAAAAAUGGUGGAAGAUAAACCCCAAAAUCGUGGACCAAAUGACUAUUUAAACAUUUUGCCCAGUCAUCAAAUCUUUCUUCGCGAACGCGAGGAUCUUUCUUCGCGAACGCGGUCAACGCCUCGCGUUCGCGAAGCACAAAUUUACUUUGGCUAAAAUUCCUUCAUCGCGAUCGCGACACACAACUCACGAACGCGAAGUCUUAGCUCUUAUAUUCAAUGCGAACACGACGUUUCUACCAUGUGUUUGAACGGUUGCAUGUUUCAUCCGGCAUUAACAAACCCUUUUUCGCUCUGCCUUUCACUCUUUAUUUUCUCAUUUUAUUUUUGUCGCUCUUUUAUUUUUGGGUCUCUUUUUUCUCUUUUUGUUUUUUCACUCCUUUAUUUUUUUUUGUCGUCCUUUUUUUCCCCUUUUUGUCACUCUUUUCUUUCUUUUCACUCAAUUUGUUUUUCAAUUUUUUUUUCUCUUAAUUAAUUUUAUGGCUAUGAUUGAAUCCGAUGGGGAUUGCCUACGUACAUGACACCGCAUGAAUCAGAUCAUUACGUAGUUUAGGAAGAUCAGGAAUAGAGGAAAUAAAUUAACUCUUUUUUCUGAUUUCUUUGACAUUUUUUAUAUGAAAAUCAUAUCACAAAGGCUUCUAACAAGGAAAAAUAUUUAGGAUUUUGAAUUUUGAAUUUUUUUUUCUUUUUUUUAUUGUUAUCUGAAAGAAAGAUCUCUACAAAUUCUUUUUCUUUUGUUUUGAAUCAUUGGGAAUUUCAAAAGAAAAAAAAUACUUUUGUUUGAAUUUCCAUUCGUUUUCUCUUCCUUUUUUAUAAAGAAGAAAGAAGAUAUUUUUGAAUUUUGAAUGAUGAUUCUGAAUUCUUGAAAGAGGGACUUUUAAGAAUUUUUUCUAAUUUAAUUUAAGAAAGUACUUCUAAAGAAAAGUGAAAAUAAUUUUUCUACUUUAAAUUUUUAAUUUUAUGACAUUUAUGAAAGAAGGACUUCUAAAGAAGAAAGAGAAUACUUUUUGGAUUUUUGUUUCUGAUUGUUUUUUUAAAAUAAAAAUACUUAUGAAGAAGGGAAAAACAAAUUUUUGGAUUUUGUUUGAUGAUUUUCUUUUGAAUGAAAGACUUCAAAAAGAAGGAAAAUAUUUUUGGGUUUUAAAAUUGUUUUUAGGUUUUCUAAGGAAAGGAAUUUUUUUUGACAAUUGAGGGUCGAAAUUGAUGAGGUUUGCCUACGUAUCUCACAUCCGGUGAGAAUCAGACUCGCGUAGUUUGGUCAGAAGUAAGAUAGAAGAAAUAUGACCUUUUAAAAAUAUUGGCGUAUUGUCUUUCUCUUUUUUUUUUCUAAAUCUUUGGCAGAGUUUCGAAUUUUUCAAAUACCUAUCUCUCAGUCUUGAUUUCUUUUUUCUUUUUCUUUUCUUUUUCUUUUAAAUUUCUUUCCAUAUUCUAGAAGCUGGUCAACAUACAAUCCAGAUCAAACAAAUGUACAAGUAACACGUAAAAUUCAUUAGGAUGGUCUUUUUAGUUUGGGAUGCACCCGUCCUAGCGGACCUAACCCCUGUGUUGAGUCCUUAAGGUCAAAUGCACGUGAUGCAAAUAAGCGUACCUACUAGGGAUCCGACAUGAGGCUAUGUCAUUAUAUGUUUUAAAACCUGAGUGUAUUGUUCUAGACCUGGCUUAUCCGAGCGGACGACUCGAGCCGAGGGGGGGCAGCGUACCGGGAAUACAGAAGCUUCACCGACUUUGCAACUUGUUGAAAUCUCGUUCUAAAAUUAGGAUAUGACUCUAACAGAAAAGAAGUCACGCGAAGCACGCUUCCUAGAAGAUUUAGAAGACCAAGAGAGAAGAAAUGUUUCGUAACAGUUUUAUAUACAGUUCAAACAAUAUCAAAGAGGUAAAAGCGGCAUUUAGCACGUUAGGCUCAAACACGUAAAAAUUAGAUAAUAAAUAAAAGCCAAGUAUAAUAGUUAUUCUAAGCUCGAAUUCUAAACUCUGAACUAGAGAUUCUGGGUUCGUUUCCCAGUAAAGUCGCCAUAGCUGUCAGAGCUGGCUUUUCAAGAGGGGAUAGAGAGUUUUUUCAAUUAAUGGGACAUUAUUUAAAAUGGGAUUAUUUAUUUGAUUCAAAGACGCCACUUGGAAUAAUUUAUGGUGUCCAAAAUCACCGGUUUAUUUUAAAUCCACAAUCGAGGAAAUCUGACUCUAUUUUAAAGUCAGCAAAACCAGAAGGCCGGGAAAGAAAUUCUGUUAACCCAGGAGAAGGUGUGAGGCACUCCCGAGUUCCGUGAUUUUAGCACGCACUCAAUUAUUAAUAAUUGGACUAAUUAUCUAAUUAAUUAUAUAUUUAUAACCCAUUGUGCAUUUUUAACUUCUAACCACUUCCAAUUAAUUUAAUCCCAUUUUAGUAUUUAUGGAAUUAUUUUUGGAAUAAGUCAUGAUACCGUACACUUAUCGUUUUGGUACACGUUGCAAAUCAUGCCACAUGAAAUGCACCCGCAAUUUACGACAUGUUUAUUUUUAUUAUUAUUUGAAGUUAUGGUCGAGUCACGUGAAAUGUGCACUCGAAUUGGGGAUUACGUAUCAUGACUAUACCACGGGAACCAUACUUAUAGUCACGAUAAUUAUUAUUAAUCGAGCCUAAAGCAAGCUACACAUUUGAAUGAUUCAAUUUAUUUCAAUCAUUAUGACUGCAUAUAGCUUGAAAUUUUAUGGAAAACAACAUUCAAUCAGAAAAAGGCAAAAGCAUUACAUGAUAUAUGAGAAAGACUGACCUCUUGUUUGAAGGAAUAUAUUACUUCUUCAGAAUAUUCUUCAUUUGCAAAUAUUUUAACAGCAACAUCAACAUAGAAAAAUGAACAGUAAUGAAACUCCUCAGCAAACCCAAAGAAUCGACGCCAAACCCGGAAGAACUCGAAACCAGUGUUCUGCUUCUUCUUUUUUCGAACUUUUGUUCUAAACUCUUAUUUUUUUCGAAUUUUUUCAGCUCUGCUUUUUUAAUCACAGAGUAUUUCGUGAAAGCUAGUGUGUUUGUGUGUGUGAGUCGUGAGUGAGAGGUGAGUGAAGCGAGUGUGGAGGUGAAAGUGAGGAUAGUCAUUCAAUGGAGGAAGGUUGUCCGUCUCUCUUGUUGAGCGAGAGAUCAGGAAAAAGAAAUAGGAGAAACAUCACUAGGGUGUUCAGGAGGGGGAAAGUCCAAUUUUCUAGGGCUUGUUUUUUGGAAAAUGGGGUUUUAAAGAGAGGGGAAGAGCUGGGCCAGGCGGGUUUGUGGGAUUGGUC